CAGUCGCCGCGGUAAUACGAAGGGUGCAAGCGUUAAUCGGAAUUACUGGGCGUAAAGCGUGCGUAGGCGGUGAGUUAAGUCUGCUGUGAAAUCCCCGGGCUCAACCCGGGAAUGGCAGUGGAUACUGGCUCGCUAGAGUGUGUCAGAGGAUGGUGGAAUUCCCGGUGUAGCGGUGAAAUGCGUAGAGAUCGGGAGGAACAUCAGUGGCGAAGGCGGCCAUCUGGGACAACACUGACGCUGAGGCACGAAAGCGUGGGGAGCAAACAGGAUUAGAUACCCCCGUAGUCCCUGUCUCUUAUAC
RNAcentral lists this ribosomal RNA (301 nucleotides) under uncultured bacterium. RNAcentral's name for it is "partial 16S ribosomal RNA". It matches the Rfam family "Bacterial small subunit ribosomal RNA", at positions 509 to 807 of the family's 1533-position model. The record is from RNAcentral.